AGUGAACGCUGGCGGUAGGCCUAACACAUGCAAGUCGAACGGCAGCACAGUAAGAGCUUGCUCUUACGGGUGGCGAGUGGCGGACGGGUGAGGAAUACAUCGGAAUCUACUUUUUCGUGGGGGAUAACGUAGGGAAACUUACGCUAAUACCGCAUACGGCCUACGGGUGAAAGCAGGGGAUCUUCGGACCUUGCGCGAUUGAAUGAGCCGAUGUCGGAUUAGCUAGUUGGCGGGGUAAAGGCCCACCAAGGCGACGAUCCGUAGCUGGUCUGAGAGGAUGAUCAGCCACACUGGAACUGAGACACGGUCCAGACUCCUACGGGAGGCAGCAGUGGGGAAUAUUGGACAAUGGGCGCAAGCCUGAUCCAGCCAUACCGCGUGGGUGAAGAAGGCCUUCGGGUUGUAAAGCCCUUUUGUUGGGAAAGAAAAGCAGCAGGUUAAUACCCCGCUGUUCUGGCGGUACCCAAAGAAUAAGCACCGGCUAACUUCGUG
This 492-nucleotide ribosomal RNA is filed under the name uncultured bacterium. RNAcentral's name for it is "partial 16S ribosomal RNA". It matches the Rfam family "Bacterial small subunit ribosomal RNA", at positions 29 to 507 of the family's 1533-position model. The record is from RNAcentral.